Triticum aestivum (bread wheat) is the source of this 500-nucleotide long non-coding RNA. RefSeq lists it as uncharacterized. NCBI's taxonomy places the organism in Eukaryota, Viridiplantae, Streptophyta, Magnoliopsida, Poales, Poaceae. The transcript has 3 exons. The record is from RefSeq and is a predicted model, not a curated record.
GAAGCCGGAAGCCGGUCGCCGUUGCAACACCAGCCUCAGGAAUCGGCGGGAUACGCUAGCCCUCAGUCCGGAUCAACGUCCGUGCCUCCGGCUUCGACAUGCAGGCCCGCUGGACGCCGCCGUGAACCACCUUGUUUUUCCGCAGCCCCUUGGACCCAGGCCACCUUCGUCGAUUCUGCCGGCCGCCACUACGACAUCGCAGUCAUCCUCCUCACCGAACAGUUCCAGAGAUUGUGACGGGCUCCGUGUUGUCCGCAUCUCCUCUGGACAAUGGACUCGAAGCCGCGGGUCCCUCCUACUUCUUCCCUGACGUUGACCGCCAUUGUCGUUGUCCGGAGCUCGUUGCUCUGCUCCGUACGACCUUGCCACUUGCAGCAUGGGUUUCUUCAUCGUUUCAAUAGAGUCAGGCAAUGAGGGGAAUUACGAGUUCGAUCUGCAGCUUCAUUGGGACAUUGACCAGGAAGGCAAGCAUCAUGAAUUCCCUAUCUUAUGUUUUACUU